UACGGAGGGUGCAAGCGUUAAUCGGAAUUACUGGGCGUAAAGAGCACGUAGGCGGUUUUGUAAGUUAGGUGUGAAAGUCCAGGGCUUAACCUUGGGAGGUCAUCUAAAACUGCAAUGCUAGAGUCUGGUAGAGGGGGGUGGAAUUUCCGGUGUAGCGGUGAAAUGCGUAGAGAUCGGAAGGAACAUCAGUGGCGAAGGCGGGCAUCUGGGCCAACACUGACGCUGAGGCGCGAAAGCUAGGGGAGCAAACAGG
This 253-nucleotide ribosomal RNA is filed under the name uncultured bacterium. RNAcentral describes it as "partial 16S ribosomal RNA". It matches the Rfam family "Bacterial small subunit ribosomal RNA", at positions 524 to 776 of the family's 1533-position model. The record is from RNAcentral.